UGAUGGACGCACUGCAUGACCGACAUGAAUUUGCGCCUGCAGAACCAAACCCGGGGUUCGCGUAUCUGUGACGUCACCGACACCGCUAAUGCCCUCAUCAAGAUGGCGCUGCGGCCGGGAUCAUCUGGAGGCGGCAGUUUCAUGUAUCCCGUGGGAGGGAGCUUGGGACCGCCGCAAGGUAUGGUGCCCAUGCAGCAGCAGCAGCAGCAGGGGCAACAGCAGCAGGGGCAGGGCUUCCCAAUGGUCCAAGUCAUGCAGCCGAAUAUGCAAAGCAUGAUGGGAAUGAACUUUGGGGGACAGAUGCCUCCUGGAGCUAUGCCCAUGCAGGCCGGCAUGGCCGUCGGGAUGCAGACCCCCGGGAUGCCGUACCUGGCCCAGCCCCAGUUCAUCGGCAUGAGACCCGCCGGCCCGCCGUACACGGCUGACAUGCAGAAGCAAAUGGCCGAGGAGCACCAGAAGCGUCUGGAGCAGCAGCAGAAGAUGCUGGAGGAAGACAGGAAACGGCGGCAGUUCGAGGAGCAGAAGCAGAAGCUCCGCUUGCUCAGUAGCGUCAAACCCAAAGCGGGCGAGAAGAGCCGGGACGAUGCCUUGGAGGCGAUCAAGGGGAACCUGGACGGCUUCAGCAGGGAGGCCAAGAUGCAUCCCACGCCGUCGGCGCAGAGCAAGAAGUCAGACUCGUCAUCACCAUCAUCAUCGUCAUCAUCAUCCUCCUCAUCUCACCCGUCUGUUGCCGCUCCCUCUCUCCCCCCGCCUUUGUCUGAGGACAAUGACGAGUUUAGUGACUUUCAGGGGCCGGCCCCUUCCAACCCUUCCAACCCUUCCAACCCUUCCUACUCAUCUUCCUCUUCCUCUGAGCACUCUUCCCGCCAGACCGUCGCGGCCGGCCUCGCCACGGCCGCGUUCACCGAGGAGGACGAGGAGUUUAGUGACUUUGUUCAAGGUCCCGUCGGUUCGGCACACUCUUGCCUUUCCUCUCAAGUCCGCCCUCCCCUCCCUCCUUCCUCUGUGUCCCUUCCCACUGCCGCUCCUCCGCACUCUGCCAUCAACAGCAGCUGUCAAACUUCAUUUCAAGGCCCGUCCCUGGAAGAGAAGCUUUUCUCCUCUUGCGAUCUCACUGCCGGCAAGACGGCCCACUUGAACUUUAAACCCAGGCGGACUUUGACGGAAAUGAGUCCCCGAGCCCGAGUGUCUGCCCAGUUUCAGAGCAGCGGUAAGGCCAGGAACUGGACCACGUCCUCCCGGGACUUGGGUCUCGAGGCCGUCUUCGUCACGGAAAGGAUACCCCAGUGCACCGCGGCGGGGCCUGGGGUGGCCCCGACUGCCGCCGAGGCCCCCCCCCAAAGCGCCGGCGACAGCGGUGUCGGUGUGUAUCCACAACAGGAGCACAUCCAGUCCGUCCCGCCAGCUUGGCUUUACAACGACAGCCUCAUCCCAGAGAUGUUCAAGAAGGUUCUGGAAUUCAGCAUGACUCCAGCUGGGAUCGACACCGCCAAGCUGUACCCGCUGCUCAUGUCGUCGGGUCUUCCGCGGGAAGCCUUGGGCCAAAUCUGGGCGUCGGCCAACCGCACGACGCCCGGCAUGCUGACCAAGGAGGAGCUGUACACCGUGCUGGCCCUGAUCGGUGUGGCGCAGAGCGGCCUGCCCGCAAUGAACGUGGAAAUCCUCGGUCAGUUCCCUUCGCCGCCGGUGCCCAACCUACCGGCCCUGGCGAUGGCUUUGGCCCCUGUCAUGCCCCAGCACCAGCAGCCCAUGAUGAGCCACCCGCCGGUCUCCAUGCCCAUGCCCAUGCCCACACCACCGCCGCCGCCAGUCAUGCCCUCCAUGACGGCGGCUGCGGCCCCCUCCAACUUCGCCAGUUUCCCUCCCGCUCAGGGUAACAAAGUGGAAGACGACGACUUCCAGGAUUUCCAGGAGGCUCCCAAAGCCGGAAGCGGGCACCAGGCGUUCACAGACUUUCAGGGGGAGCCGAGCGCAAGUUUCCCAGCCGGAAUAGCGGCGCAGCAUCAAAACUGUGCACCGGCCAUGUUGACACCUCUGUCCGGUUCCUCAUCGGUCCCUUCCGAUAAGUACGCCGUCUUCAAGCAGUUGUCUGUGGAUCAGCCCGCAGAAGUCACGCCCCCUACCUCAGAUGGAGGAGACAAAUACAGCGUCUUUAGACACCUAGAAAAUCCUGCUGACAAGAAACCACUUGGCGAAAGAUUUGCCGAUUUCAAGGCCGUCCGAACCGAUGACGGCUUCACGGACUUUAAAACCGCCGACAGCGUCUCUCCUCUAGAGCCCUCGGAGCAGGCCAAGAUCUUCCAGCCUUUUCCUUCUGCUUUCCCCAACUCUCAGUCUCUACAACAGCAGCCCCCCUCAGCUGUUUCCAUGACUCAAAAGAAAAAUCCUCUCAACAUGUCAGACCUGGACCUUUUCUCCCCGAUCGCUCCAUCUGUCCUGCCCGCCUCCGACACGCAAACUGGCGCCUUAGCCCCGAUUCUGGUGCUCCCGUCAGGGGGAGCCAAGGCCAGUGGCCGCGGGGAAUUUGCCCUGUUUGGCUCCUCGUCCUCAGACGCCGCCCAAGCUCCGGUGGCGGCGCCACAGGACGACUUUGCCGACUUCAUGGCGUUCGGGAGUUCUGGUGGGGAGGCCAAAAGUGAGAGCGGGGCAGCGGUUCACAGCGAGACCUCCUCUCAGCAGGGCUCAGACAAGUACGACGUGUUCAAGCAGCUCUCCUUGGAGGGCAGCGGCGGCGGCCUGGCCUACGACGACGCCAAAGACGGCGGCGACGAUUUCGCCGACUUCCAGUCGUCCAAAUUCUGCACAGCGCUCGGCGCCUCGGAAAAGACCCUGGUCGACAAGGUGGCCUCCUUCAAGCAGGGCAAGGAGGACUGCGCCUCGGUCAAGUCCCUGGACCUCCCGUCCAUCGGGGGCAGCAGCGCCGGGAAGGACGACUCUGAGGACGCGCUGUCGGUGCAGCUGGACAUGAAGCUGGCCGACGUGGGCGGGGACUUGAAGCACGUGAUGUCGGACAGCUCGCUGGAUCUGACCGGGCUCUCGUCCCACCAGCCGCCCGCUACAGAGGGAGACGACACGAAAUUUGACCCGUUCGGGACGUCCGCACUCAGCAGCCUGGCCAAUUACGACUGGUCAGAGCGAGCGGAGUGCGUCGCCGGCGACCUCCGCAAGGCCCCCCCGCCUCCAAUGCCCGCUGAAAAGGCCGAGGCGAACUCGGAAGGCACCUCGGCCGCCUCGCCCGCCAAGUCGGCCUCGUCUUUCCGUGCAGAGGAUGACAAGUUUGAAGCCUUCGCCGACCUCGCCGGUAGCGAAGAGCGGGACGGCGAAGACGACUUCGGAGACUUUGCCGGCACCGUUUCCGAGAAGCCCGACUCCCCCGUCGGCCCCGAGGCCACCCCGGGCGAGACCUCCGAUGACUUUGGCGCCUUCCAGGGAGACAAGCCAAAGUUUGGCAAGUCUGACUUCCUGAAGGCGAGCGCUCAGCCCAAUGUCAAAUCCAGCGAGGAGAUGAUCAAGAACGAGCUGGCCACGUUUGACUUGUCUGUCCAAGGCUCCCACAAGCGCAGUCACAGCCUGGGAGAGAAAGAGAUCGGUCGCUCCGCGCCGUCGCUGAUUCUGGAGCAGCCGUUCCGAGAUCGAUCCAGCACCCUGAGCGAGAAGCCCACCUUGCCCGUCAUCCGGGACAAGUACAAGGACCUCACCGGGGAGGUGGAGGAGAGCGAGCGCUACGCGUAUGAGUGGCAGAGAUGUUUGGAAAGUGCUCUGGAGGUCAUCACCAAGGCCAACGACACGCUGAACGGCAUCAGCAGCUCGUCCGUGUGCACCGAGGUCAUCCUUUCUGCUCAGGGGAUGGAAUAUCUGCUAGGUGUGGUGGAGGUGUACCGCGUGACCCGGCGCGUGGAGCUGGGCGUCAAGGCGACGGCGGUGUGCUCGGAGAAGCUGCAGCAGUUGCUGAAGGACAUCAGCCGCGUGUGGAACAACCUCACCAGCUUCAUGUCGCUGGCCAAGCUGGUGCAAUGGUGACGCCUUCCUCGUUAUUGGGCAAGGCAGAGCGAUCGAUUGCUUGCGCCUCGGAAGUCGCGCGCUUUGCUGGGGUCUCUGUACGACGGACACACGGCGCCGCUUUCCGGGCGCGUCUUCCCAACGAAAAGCCGAUCGAUACCGUGAUUGAAUGUCGGCGAACGCACGGCGCUCCCGCUCCAUUAGCUCCGGAUUGAUCGGCGAUCGAUCGCGACGCGCGACCAGCUGGAUGAUGCGCAUUCACGCAGACGAGCGAGCAGCGGGAGCAACAUUACGACCGUUUCCGUGUCUUUUAACGCAUUCACCGGAGGACAUCUUGAUUGAUCGUGCACGAUAUGAUGUGACAAUAGAAGCACUGAACCUCUUUUUUUAAUUCCCUCAAAUGACGCAUACAUUUUCAUACUUUUUCAUUCUCCUCACUCUACGUAUGAAUCCAGAAGCCUUUUUUUGUUUUUGCUUUUUAGAAGUCACUGAGGCCACAGUUGUGAGGAUCGGGGUUUGAAUCCCGACUCCAACCUGUGUGGAGUUUGCAUGUUCUCCCCGUGCCUGCAAGUGUGGCUUUUCUCCGCUUUCAUCCCACACCCCCAAAAACACGCAACAUUCAUUGGACACAUAUUAAAUUGCCCAUAGGUGUGAUGGUGAGCGGAACUGUUGUUUGUCUCCUCGUGCCCUGCGAUCGGCCGGCGACCACUUCAGGGUGUGCCCCGCCUCCUGCCCGUCGACAGCCGGGAUAGGCUCCGGCACUCCCCGCGACCCUCGUGAGGUUGAGCGGCAAAUAAAAUGUAUGGAUGGAGACAAAGCUUUUGGUGUUUUAUGUUGAACUUUGUUUUUUUUUUUUUUUUGUGGCCAAAUCCACAGUCCGCUCCGUUUAUUUUGUUUUGCUUUUUCGAUGCACGUUUGUUUGUUUUUGUUUUCUUUGCGUUGUCGGCAGCCUGACGAAAGCUCCCUGGAUUUCGCCUCCUGCGUCCUGCGGCACGGCAUCAAGAACGCCAAGGAGCUGGCGUGCGGGGUGUGCCUGCUCAACGUGGACUCUCGCAGCAAGGCGUUCAACUCCGAGACGGACAACUUCAAGCUGGCGUA
RNA transcript from Syngnathoides biaculeatus (alligator pipefish), 5097 nucleotides. It is a transcript of the gene named synergin, gamma, with no coding region annotated. The record is from RefSeq and is a predicted model, not a curated record. The transcript has 22 exons. NCBI's taxonomy places the organism in Eukaryota, Metazoa, Chordata, Actinopteri, Syngnathiformes, Syngnathidae.